RNAcentral lists this ribosomal RNA (247 nucleotides) under uncultured bacterium. RNAcentral describes it as "partial 16S ribosomal RNA". It matches the Rfam family "Bacterial small subunit ribosomal RNA", at positions 113 to 353 of the family's 1533-position model. The record is from RNAcentral.
ACGCGUAGGUAACCUGCCUUGUANCGGGGGAUAACUAUUGGAAACGAUAGCUAAUACCGCAUAACAAUGGAUGACACAUGUCAUUUAUUUGAAAGGGGCAAAUGCUCCACUACAAGAUGGACCUGCGUUGUAUUAGCUAGUAGGUGAGGUAACGGCUCACCUAGGCGACGAUACAUAGCCGACCUGAGAGGGUGAUCGGCCACACUGGGACUGAGACACGGCCCAGACUCCUACGGGAGGCAGCAUG